CCUCCUCCACCCUCCACCUACUACGCCCUCCAAUUCCACCGUUCCGAGGCGGCGUCUGCGUCUCCUCCCCACGCCCCGUCCCUCUCGCUGCCUCCAGCCCGGCGACACAUCCACCGCCGCGCCACCGUCGGAUUCGCGCCCCCCCGCCCGCCGCUCCGAUCGCGUGGACGAAGAUGCUGGGCGCCGCGAGGAGGCAGCUCGGAUCCGGCCCCAUGCUGGGGCAGUUGCUGCGGAGGCUCCGCCCGGCGGCGGCGGCGUCCACGGAGGCGGCAAGGGGGUACUCCUCCGCGGCCAAGGAGAUCACCGUACGUGACGCGUUGAACUCUGCCCUAGAUGAAGAAAUGUCUGCUGAUCCUUCUGUCUUUUUGAUGGGUGAAGAGGUUGGAGAAUAUCAAGGUGCAUACAAGAUUACGAAGGGCUUGCUUGACAAGUAUGGUCCUGAUAGGGUUCUUGAUACCCCAAUCACUGAGGCUGGUUUUACAGGCAUUGGUGUUGGUGCAGCCUAUCAAGGUCUUCGGCCAGUUAUAGAGUUCAUGACAUUUAAUUUCUCAAUGCAGGCAAUCGAUCAUAUCAUCAACUCAGCUGCUAAGUCAAACUACAUGUCAGCUGGUCAGAUAAAUGUCCCAAUUGUUUUCAGAGGACCAAAUGGUGCUGCUGCUGGAGUUGGUGCUCAACACUCACAGUGUUAUGCAGCUUGGUUUGCGCAUGUUCCAGGACUUAAGGUUCUGGCUCCAUAUUCUUCAGAAGAUGCCAGAGGCUUGCUAAAAGCUGCAAUUAGGGAUCCUGAUCCCGUUGUUUUUCUGGAAAAUGAAUUACUCUAUGGAGAGUCGUUCCCUGUUUCUGAUGAAGUGCUUGAUUCUAGUUUUGCUCUGCCGAUUGGCAAAGCUAAGAUAGAACGCGAGGGUAAAGAUGUUACGAUUACUGCAUUCUCCAAGAUGGUCGGCUAUGCUCUUCAGGCUGCUGAGAUACUGUCCAAGGAAGGAAUCAGUGCUGAGGUGAUCAACCUUCGAUCAAUUAGGCCACUGGAUAGAGCCGCCAUAAAUGCAUCCGUUAGGAAAACAAAUAGAUUGGUGACUCUUGAAGAAGGCUUCCCCCAGCAUGGUGUUGGUGCUGAGAUAUGCAUGUCUGUUGUAGAAGAAAGCUUUGAGUAUCUUGAUGCUCCAAUUGAGAGGAUUGCUGGAGCUGAUGUACCCAUGCCCUAUGCUGCCAACCUUGAGAGAUUGGCUGUUCCACAGAUCGAGGAUAUCGUCCGAGCGGCCAGGCGAGCCUGCUACAGAGCGUUGCCCAUGACGGCAACUGCGUGAUCGAAAUUUCACUUUACUCUGCCCAUGCUUUUUCCCAUCGCCUGCCCGGCCAGAAAGAAACGUGUGUGUUCCAUAAUGCUUUCGUUGAUUGAUUAUUACUACGGCCUAAUCACGGUGGUUACAUAAAUGGAAAAUUGAGGUGUUCUCAUGCA
Molecule: ribosomal RNA, 1456 nt
Filed under: Triticum aestivum (bread wheat)
Lineage: Eukaryota; Viridiplantae; Streptophyta; Magnoliopsida; Poales; Poaceae
Description: partial small subunit ribosomal RNA
Source: RNAcentral